CUCAUGGUUUCACGGUAUUGCAAUGAUAACAAUUUAAAACCCUUAGCGAGAAUCAAGUGGAGGACAAGUCUGGUGCCAGCACCCGCGGUAAUUCCAGCUCCACUAGCGUAUAUUAAAGUUGUUGCAGUUAAAAAGCUCGUAGUUGAACCUCUGUCUGGGGCUAGUUUUGGCUUUGGUCAGGCUAGUUCUAGGCAUCCGCCUACAAGACUUAGAGGGCAUUCAGUUGUUCACUAGGAGGAGUAGGCAUUUUACUUUGAAAAAAUUAGAGUGUUUAAGGCAGGCAAUCGCCCGCAUAUAUUAGCAUGGAAUAAUAGAAUAGGACACUUUUCCAUUUCGUUGGUUAUUGGAAUCGUGUAAUGAUUAAUAGGGACAGUUGUGGGCAUUUGUAUUUAAUUGUCAGAGGUGAAAUUCUUGGAUUUAUUAAAGACAAACUAACGCGAAAGCAUUUGCCAAGGAUGUUUUCAUUAAUCAAGAACGAAAGUUAGGGGAUCAAAGACGAUCAGAUACCGUCCUAGUCUUAACUAUAAACUAUUCCGACUCAAUGUUUGACUGGCUUAUAUAACCAGUUGAGCGUUGUAUGAGAAAUCAAAGUCUUUAGGUUCUGGGGGGAGUAUGGUUGCAAAGCUGAAACUUAAAGGAAUUGACGGAAGAGCACAACCAGGAGUGGAUUCUGCGGCUUAAUUUGACUCAACACGGGGAAACUUACCAGGUUAAAACAAUAGUGGGAUUGACAGUUUGAGAGCGCUUUCUUGAUCGGUUGGGUGGUGGUGCAUGGCCGUUCUUAGUUGGUGGAGUGAUUUGUCUGCUUAAUUGCGUUAACGAACGAGACCUUAACCUGCUUACUAGACUGGCGAUCAUCAAUCGUUAGCUCUUCUUAGAGGGACUUUGGUUGUUUUAACUCCAAGGAAGUUUGAGGCAAUAACAGGUCUGUGAUGCCCUUAGAUAUCCUGGGCCGCACGCGUCAUACAAUGACUAGUUCAGAAAGUUUUCUCCUGACCCGAAAGGGGAUGGGUAAUCUUGAUAAUACUAGUCGUGUUAGGGAUCGAUCUUUGCAAUUAUAGAUCUUGAACGAGGAAUUCCUAGUAAGUGCGGUUCAUCAGACCGUACUGAUUACGUCCCUGCUCUUUGUACACACCGCCCGUCGCUUCUACCGAGUGGGUGGUCCGGUGAGAUAAUUGAACUUCGCAGGUAACUGAGAGGAAAGAUUAUCAAACCUAUCCACCU
RNAcentral lists this ribosomal RNA (1224 nucleotides) under metagenome. RNAcentral describes it as "SSU rRNA". It matches the Rfam family "Eukaryotic small subunit ribosomal RNA", at positions 493 to 1774 of the family's 1831-position model. The record is from RNAcentral.